AAAACAUGUCUUUUUGAUAAAAAUUUAAAGUCAGGUCUGCUCACUGAAUUAUUUUAAAGAGCCGCAGUAUAUYGACUGUGCAAAGGUAGCAUAAUCAAUAGUUUCUUAAUUGGGAACUAGAAUGAAAGAUUAGACGAAAAAUUAAUUUUCUUUGUUUUAAUAAAUUUAAUUUUAAAUUUAAGUGAAAAUGCUUAAAUACAAUUAAAAGACGAGAAGACCCUAUAGAUUUUUAUUAUUGAAAUAAAUUUUUAAAUUUAAUUUAAUAAGAUAAUUUAAUUGGGGCGAUUUUAUAAUAUAAAUAACUUAAUUUUUUUAAACCAUAAAUAAUUGAAUAUUUGAUCUAAAAUUUUUAAAGAAAAGAUUAAAUUACCUUAGGGAUAACAGCGUAAUUUUAUUUAAGAGUUCAUAUCUAUAAUAAAGUUUGCGACCUCGAUGUUGAAUUAAGAUAAUAUAUUGGAGUAGAAAUUAAUAUAAUUAGUCUGUUCGACUAUUAAAUUCUUACGUGAUCUG
RNAcentral lists this ribosomal RNA (510 nucleotides) under Ptycta placophora. RNAcentral's name for it is "partial 16S ribosomal RNA". The stretch from base 377 to 510 matches the Rfam family "Bacterial large subunit ribosomal RNA", at positions 2473 to 2607 of the family's 2925-position model. The record is from RNAcentral. Lineage: Eukaryota; Metazoa; Arthropoda; Insecta; Psocodea; Psocidae.